AGCGAACGCUGGCGGCAGGCCUAACACAUGCAAGUCGAACGAACCUUUCGGGGUUAGUGGCGGACGGGUGAGUAACACGUGGGAACGUGCCUUUAGGUGCGGAAUAACUCAGGGAAACUUGUGCUAAUACCGAAUGUGCCCUUCGGGGGAAAGAUUAAUCGCCUUUAGAGCGGCCCGCGUCUGAUUAGCCAGUUGGUUGAGGUAAUGGCUCACCAAGGCGACGAUCAGUAGCUGGUCUGAGAGGAUGAUCAGCCACAUUGGGACUGAGACACGGCCCAAACUCCUACGGGAGGCAGCAGUGGGUAAUCUUGCGCAAUGGGCGAAGGCCUGACGCUGCCAUGCCGCGUGAAUGAUGAAGGUCUUAAGAUUGUAAAAUUCUUUCAACGGGGACGAUAAUGACGGUACCCGGAGAAGAAGCCCCGGCUAACUUCGUG
This 434-nucleotide ribosomal RNA is filed under the name uncultured bacterium. RNAcentral describes it as "partial 16S ribosomal RNA". It matches the Rfam family "Bacterial small subunit ribosomal RNA", at positions 29 to 507 of the family's 1533-position model. The record is from RNAcentral.